Molecule: ribosomal RNA, 1556 nt
Filed under: uncultured bacterium
Lineage: Bacteria
Description: bacterial SSU rRNA
Rfam family: Bacterial small subunit ribosomal RNA
Source: RNAcentral
AGAGUUUGAUCAUGGCUCAGGACGAACGCUGGCGGCGUGCCUAAUACAUGCAAGUCGAGCGAGCGGAACUAACAGAUUUACUUCGGUAAUGACGUUAGGAAAGCGAGCGGCGGAUGGGUGAGUAACACGUGGGGAACCUGCCCCAUAGUCUGGGAUACCACUUGGAAACAGGUGCUAAUACCGGAUAAGAAAGCAGAUCGCAUGAUCAGUUUUUAAAAGGCGGCGUAAGCUGUCGCUAUGGGAUGGCCCCGCGGUGCAUUAGCUAGUUGGUAAGGUAAAGGCUUACCAAGGCGAUGAUGCAUAGCCGAGUUGAGAGACUGAUCGGCCACAUUGGGACUGAGACACGGCCCAAACUCCUACGGGAGGCAGCAGUAGGGAAUCUUCCACAAUGGACGCAAGUCUGAUGGAGCAACGCCGCGUGAGUGAAGAAGGUUUUCGGAUCGUAAAGCUCUGUUGUUGGUGAAGAAGGAUAGAGGUAGUAACUGGCCUUUAUUUGACGGUAAUCAACCAGAAAGUCACGGCUAACUACGUGCCAGCAGCCGCGGUAAUACGUAGGUGGCAAGCGUUGUCCGGAUUUAUUGGGCGUAAAGCGAGCGCAGGCGGAAGAAUAAGUCUGAUGUGAAAGCCUUCGGCUUAACCGAGGAACUGCAUCGGAAACUGUUUUUCUUGAGUGCAGAAGAGGAGAGUGGAACUCCAUGUGUAGCGGUGGAAUGCGUAGAUAUAUGGAAGAACACCAGUGGCGAAGGCGGCUCUCUGGUCUGCAACUGACGCUGAGGCUCGAAAGCAUGGGUAGCGAACAGGAUUAGAUACCCUGGUAGUCCAUGCCGUAAACGAUGAGUGCUAAGUGUUGGGAGGUUUCCGCCUCUCAGUGCUGCAGCUAACGCAUUAAGCACUCCGCCUGGGGAGUACGACCGCAAGGUUGAAACUCAAAGGAAUUGACGGGGGCCCGCACAAGCGGUGGAGCAUGUGGUUUAAUUCGAAGCAACGCGAAGAACCUUACCAGGUCUUGACAUCUAGUGCCAUUUGUAGAGAUACAAAGUUCCCUUCGGGGACGCUAAGACAGGUGGUGCAUGGCUGUCGUCAGCUCGUGUCGUGAGAUGUUGGGUUAAGUCCCGCAACGAGCGCAACCCUUGUUAUUAGUUGCCAGCAUUAAGUUGGGCACUCUAAUGAGACUGCCGGUGACAAACCGGAGGAAGGUGGGGAUGACGUCAAGUCAUCAUGCCCCUUAUGACCUGGGCUACACACGUGCUACAAUGGGCAGUACAACGAGAAGCGAGCCUGCGAAGGCAAGCGAAUCUCUGAAAGCUGUUCUCAGUUCGGACUGCAGUCUGCAACUCGACUGCACGAAGCUGGAAUCGCUAGUAAUCGCGGAUCAGCACGCCGCGGUGAAUACGUUCCCGGGCCUUGUACACACCGCCCGUCACACCAUGGGAGUCUGCAAUGCCCAAAGCCGGUGGCCUAACCUUCGGGAAGGAGCCGUCUAAGGCAGGGCAGAUGACUGGGGUGAAGUCGUAACAAGGUAGCCGUAGGAGAACCUGCGGCUGGAUCACCUCCUU